GCUGGCGGCGUGCCUAAUACAUGCAAGUCGAGCGGACAGAAGGGAGCUUGCUCCCGGAUGUUAGCGGCGGACGGGUGAGUAACACGUGGGUAACCUGCCUGUAAGACUGGGAUAACUCCGGGAAACCGGAGCUAAUACCGGAUAGUUCCUUGAACCGCAUGGUUCAAGGAUGAAAGACGGUUUCGGCUGUCACUUACAGAUGGACCCGCGGCGCAUUAGCUAGUUGGUGGGGUAAUGGCUCACCAAGGCGACGAUGCGUAGCCGACCUGAGAGGGUGAUCGGCCACACUGGGACUGAGACACGGCCCAGACUCCUACGGGAGGCAGCAGUAGGGAAUCUUCCGCAAUGGACGAAAGUCUGACGGAGCAACGCCGCGUGAGUGAUGAAGGUUUUCGGAUCGUAAAGCUCUGUUGUUAGGGAAGAACAAGUGCGAGAAGUAACUGCUCCGCACCUUGACGGUACCUAACCAGAAAGCCACGGCUAACUACGUGGCCAGCAGCCGCGGUAAUACGUAGGUGGCAAGCGGUUGUCCGGAAUUAUUGG
RNAcentral lists this ribosomal RNA (543 nucleotides) under Bacillus pumilus. Its description in RNAcentral is "bacterial SSU rRNA". It matches the Rfam family "Bacterial small subunit ribosomal RNA", at positions 35 to 557 of the family's 1533-position model. Lineage: Bacteria; Bacillati; Bacillota; Bacilli; Caryophanales; Bacillaceae. The record is from RNAcentral.